This 201-nucleotide unclassified non-coding RNA is filed under the name Hevea brasiliensis (rubber tree). The record is from RNAcentral. Lineage: Eukaryota; Viridiplantae; Streptophyta; Magnoliopsida; Malpighiales; Euphorbiaceae.
AGAAAGCAGCUGAUUACCACGGACACGCAAAAAGCCUACUGCAUUAUAGAAAAUCUUCUUUGAUGUCAAUCCACAGUCUGCCAAAUCAUAUCGAUUGUUAACCAUUUUACCCCCAAUUAAGUCCCUAUGUAGAAAGGCUGCUGUUUGAGGACCAAGCCCAGAGACAAAUUGGAGGGGAGCUAAAAGCCAGUCGUGGCUCAU